This 373-nucleotide ribosomal RNA is filed under the name uncultured bacterium. Its description in RNAcentral is "bacterial SSU rRNA". It matches the Rfam family "Bacterial small subunit ribosomal RNA", at positions 527 to 898 of the family's 1533-position model. The record is from RNAcentral.
GUAGGGGGCAAGCGUUGUCCGGAUUUAUUGGGCGUAAAGAGCGUGUAGGCGGCCAGAUAGGUCCGUUGUGAAAACUCGAGGCUCAACCUCGAGACGCCGAUGGAAACCAUCUGGCUAGAGUCCGGAAGAGGAGAGUGGAAUUCCCGGUGUAGCGGUGAAAUGCGCAGAUAUCGGGAAGAACACCCGUGGCUAAGGCGGCUCUCUAGUACGGUACUGACGCUGAGACGCGAAAGCGUGGGGAGCGAACAGGAUUAGAUACCCUGGUAGUCCACGCCGUAAACGAUGGGUGCUAGGUGUGGGGGGUGUCGACUCCCUCCGUGCCGAAGCUAACGCAUUAAGCACCCCGCCUGGGGAGUACGGCCGCAAGGCUAAA